RNAcentral lists this ribosomal RNA (460 nucleotides) under uncultured bacterium. RNAcentral describes it as "partial 16S ribosomal RNA". It matches the Rfam family "Bacterial small subunit ribosomal RNA", at positions 338 to 795 of the family's 1533-position model. The record is from RNAcentral.
CCUACGGGAGGCAGCAGUGAGGAAUAUUGGUCAAUGGGCGAGAGUCUGAACCAGCCAAGUAGCGUGAAGGAUGACUGCCCUACGGGUUGUAAACUUCUUUUAUAUGGGAAUAAAAUGUUCCACGUGUGGGAUUUUGUAUGUACCAUAUGAAUAAGGAUCGGCUAACUCCGUGCCAGCAGCCGCGGUAAUACGGAGGAUCCGAGCGUUAUCCGGAUUUAUUGGGUUUAAAGGGAGCGUAGAUGGGUUGUUAAGUCAGUUGUGAAAGUUUGCGGCUCAACCGUAAAAUUGCAAUUGAUACUGGCAGCCUUGAGUACAGUUGAGGUAGGCGGAAUUCGUGGUGUAGCGGUGAAAUGCUUAGAUAUCACGAAGAACUCCGAUUGCGAAGGCAGCUUACUAAACUGCCACUGACAUUGAUGCUCGAAAGUGUGGGUAGCAAACAGGAUUAGAUACCCUUGUAGUC